Molecule: ribosomal RNA, 478 nt
Filed under: uncultured bacterium
Lineage: Bacteria
Description: partial 16S ribosomal RNA
Rfam family: Bacterial small subunit ribosomal RNA
Source: RNAcentral
GACGAACGCUGGCGGCGUGCUUAACACAUGCAAGUCGAACGGUAAGGCCCUUCGGGGUACACGAGUGGCGAACGGGUGAGUAACACGUGGGUGAUCUGCCCUGCACUUCGGGAUAAGCCUGGGAAACUGGGUCUAAUACCGGAUAGGACCACUGCCUGCAUGGGUGGUGGUGGAAAGCUUUUGCGGUGUGGGAUGGGCCCGCGGCCUAUCAGCUUGUUGGUGGGGUGAUGGCCUACCAAGGCGACGACGGGUAGCCGGCCUGAGAGGGUGACCGGCGGCCAUGGGACGGAGAUGCGGCGCAGAGUACUCCGGGGGGCAGCAGUGGAGGAUAUUGCUCCAGAGGCGGAGGCAGCAUGCAGCGGCGCCGCGUGAGGGAGGACGGCGUUCUGGGUGUAAUACUCGUUCAGCACCAACGAAGCGCAAGUGACGAUAGGUGCAGAAGAAGGACCGGCCAACUACGUGCCAGCCGCCGCCGUAA